This 454-nucleotide long non-coding RNA is filed under the name Physcomitrium patens. RNAcentral describes it as "long non-coding RNA (PPAT_LNC006912)". The record is from RNAcentral. Lineage: Eukaryota; Viridiplantae; Streptophyta; Bryopsida; Funariales; Funariaceae.
AACCACUAAAAUACUAAGAAACACUACAAUGCUUCCUCCUAGUAACAAUAUUCCUUCAUCAACUAAUAACCACAAUGUGCAACCCUGCACUCUCAAAAGUUCACUCAAAAUUCAAUAAAUUCCAUCCAAUACCAGGAAUAACAAACUUCACUCCAAUCAAUCUAAAUUCUUAGAAUUCAUGUAAUCAUACACUUCCUCUAUCGAAACACAGACACACAACUCUCAAUAAAAAACAAUCAUAAUCUUCCAUCCAUAAUCAAUCUUCCAAUAACUUCUCAUAUAAUUCAAUCAUUUAAUACUCCAAUUACAUAAUCAAUAACUCAUAAAUCAAUCUCUGAUUUAUUCCACAGACUCACUUCUCAAUAUUCAGAAACUAUCCAUUAUUCUUCAAUAAUAAAGAAAACAAAAGAAACAAAGAGGAAGCACCAAGUUUAAUCCCGGCUCAUGACUAUCA